CGAGGAGCUUGCUCCUCUGAUCAGUGGCGAACGGGUGAGUAACACGUGAGCAACCUGCCCCAGACUCUGGGAUAACAGUUGGAAACAGCUGCUAAUACCGGAUACGAGACGGAGAGGCAUCUCUACCGUCUGGAAAGUUUUUCGGUCUGGGAUGGACUCGCGGCCUAUCAGCUAGUUGGUGAGGUAAUGGCUCACCAAGGCGACGACGGGUAGCCGGCCUGAGAGGGCGACCGGCCACACUGGGACUGAGACACGGCCCAGACUCCUACGGGAGGCAGCAGUGGGGAAUAUUGCACAAUGGGCGAAAGCCUGAUGCAGCGACGCCGCGUGAGGGAUGACGGCCUUCGGGUUGUAAACCUCUUUCAGCAGGGAAGAAGCGAAAGUGACGGUACCUGCAGAAGAAGCACCGGCUAACUACGUGCCAGCAGCCGCGGUAAUACGUAGGGUGCGAGCGUUGUCCGGAAUUAUUGGGCGUAAAGAGCUUGUAGGCGGUUUGUCGCGUCUGCAGUGAAAAUCCGAGGCUCAACCUCGGACUUGCUGUGGGUACGGGCAGACUAGAGUAUGGUAGGGGAGACCGGAAUUCCUGGUGUAGCGGUGGAAUGCGCAGAUA
RNAcentral lists this ribosomal RNA (610 nucleotides) under uncultured bacterium. RNAcentral's name for it is "bacterial SSU rRNA". It matches the Rfam family "Bacterial small subunit ribosomal RNA", at positions 72 to 696 of the family's 1533-position model. The record is from RNAcentral.